CGCCUGGGGAGUACGGCCGCAAGGUUAAAACUCAAAUGAAUAGACGGGGGCCCGCACAAGCGGUGGAGCAUGUGGUUUAAUUCGACGCAACGCGAAGAACCUUACCUGGCCUUGACAUCCAGAGAGCUUUCCAGAGAUGGAUUGGUGCCUUCGGGAACUCUGAGACAGGUGCUGCAUGGCCGUCGUCAGCUCGUGUCGUGAGAUGUUGGGUUAAGUCCCGUAACGAGCGCAACCCCUAUCCCUGGUUGCUAGCAGGUAAUGCUGAGAACUCCAGGGAGACUGCCGGUGACAAACCGGAGGAAGGUGGGGAUGACGUCAGGUCAUCAUGGCCCUUACGGCCAGGGCUACACACGUGCUACAAUGGCGCGUACAGAGGGCUGCCAACUCGCGAGAGUGAGCCAAUCCCUUAAAACGCGUCGUAGUCCGGAUCGGAGUCUGCAACUCGACUCCGUGAAGUCGGAAUCGCUAGUAAUCGCGAAUCAGAAUGCCGCGGUGAAUACGUUCCCGGGCCUUGUACACACCGCCCGUCACACCAUGGGAGUGGAUUGCACCAGAAGUAGUUAGUCUAACCUUCGGGAGGACGAUUACCACGGUGUGGUUCAUGACUGGGGUGAAGUCGUAACAAGGUAACCGUA
This 635-nucleotide ribosomal RNA is filed under the name uncultured Marinobacter sp. RNAcentral describes it as "bacterial SSU rRNA". It matches the Rfam family "Bacterial small subunit ribosomal RNA", at positions 870 to 1504 of the family's 1533-position model. Lineage: Bacteria; Pseudomonadati; Pseudomonadota; Gammaproteobacteria; Pseudomonadales; Marinobacteraceae. The record is from RNAcentral.